CCCGCCCAGUUUCCUCUUGAGUUAAUGAUUGUCGUAGAAAAGAAACGAGAUCAACUUUUGCAUCUCGCAUAUACAAAUAAAAGGUCAAAAUUUACCAAGGUGGUUACGUUUUAUUUUAAACCACGAUUAUAGGUAUAAAAGGCCGGGGCCGAGACAACGACUGCAUCAGUUGAUUUUUGUUCAAUCAAUAGCAACCAAACCAACCCUUCAAGAUGUACAAGAUUGUAGCUGUUGUAUUCGCUCUCUUCGCCAUGGCCUUCGCUGCCCCUCAACCCAAACCAGGCGCGCUCUUGGCCUCCAACUUGGCCUAUACCGCUCCCCUGGCCUACAGCGCUCCAUUGGCUUACAGCUCUUCCUACAGCUACAGCUCUCCCAGCUUAGUUUCUGGAAUCGCUGCUGCUCCUUUGGCUUACACCUCCUACAGCGCUCCUUCUCUCAUCAUCUAAGUUGAAUAUAAGGAUAGUGGAUGAACUAAUGGUGAACUGGUAAACGCAACUGGACAUCUUUACUUUUUGAAUAACGAUUUGGAUCCCUUUUUUGUGAUUUGUAGUGUAAGAAUAAAUAAAAGGUGGAAAAAUUA
Anthonomus grandis grandis is the source of this 580-nucleotide long non-coding RNA. RefSeq lists it as uncharacterized. The record is from RefSeq and is a predicted model, not a curated record. NCBI's taxonomy places the organism in Eukaryota, Metazoa, Arthropoda, Insecta, Coleoptera, Curculionidae. The transcript has 2 exons.